Molecule: transfer RNA, 78 nt
Filed under: Syntrophorhabdaceae bacterium
Lineage: Bacteria; Pseudomonadati; Thermodesulfobacteriota; Syntrophorhabdia; Syntrophorhabdales; Syntrophorhabdaceae
Also listed under: 1 other name
Description: tRNA-Arg
Rfam family: tRNA
About the family: Transfer RNA (tRNA) molecules are approximately 80 nucleotides in length. Their secondary structure includes four short double-helical elements and three loops (D, anti-codon, and T loops). Further hydrogen bonds mediate the characteristic L-shaped molecular structure. tRNAs have two regions of fundamental functional importance: the anti-codon, which is responsible for specific mRNA codon recognition, and the 3' end, to which the tRNAs corresponding amino acid is attached (by aminoacyl-tRNA synthetases). tRNAs cope with the degeneracy of the genetic code in two manners: having more than one tRNA (with a specific anti-codon) for a particular amino acid; and 'wobble' base-pairing, i.e. permitting non-standard base-pairing at the 3rd anti-codon position.
Source: RNAcentral
GCGCCCGUAGCUCAGUAUGGAUAGAGCGUUGGCCUCCGGAGCCAAAAGUCGCAGGUUCAAAUCCUGUCGGGCGCGCCA